Cottoperca gobio is the source of this 1356-nucleotide long non-coding RNA. RefSeq lists it as uncharacterized. NCBI's taxonomy places the organism in Eukaryota, Metazoa, Chordata, Actinopteri, Perciformes, Bovichtidae. The record is from RefSeq and is a predicted model, not a curated record. The transcript has 2 exons.
CUCAGAUAGGGGUCAUUGUCCACUUGUGUAUCAGGCUGAGAAAUUAACUGUUUGCCUGAGGACACUUUUUGCAAUCUUAUUGUCGUUUUUACAGGCAAUACGAUAAAACGUUAUGAAAUAACUUGUUUGUCCCACAUUGUGGCAAAACGUAUUUUAUUUUAGAACCUAAUUUCACACCAUGUGCCUGCUGACCUUCCAGCUCUGCAGCCGUAACCUAUUUAUGUCCAGCAGGUACACCAGUCUGCAAACUGUACACACUUUUCUCACCUGGGCUGCAGCUGCAUCUCAUCUCCAAUCAAGCCGGUAUUCAAGCCUCUCCUGCUCACACAUUCAGCGGCAGAUUGUACUUCGACGAAUGCGAGACGCUCCAGCCCUUCGGCCCGGACCGAUGGUCUGUUGCCGACCCCGCCUCGGACCUGCUCGUCUCUUCUGAUUCUCCUCUGCCCCGCCACGCUCUACCUUCUGCCUGUCCCCUUCUACUGCUUCGUCUACUUGGACUUUGUGUGCUGCAUUUGGGUCCAAACACGUCCCGUGACAGAGCCAGCAUUUCCCGACACCAGGGUGCUGGAAAUGGCUCCCCUACAUGAAUGGCUUUAAAUGUGUCUCUGAAAAGUUUGUAUCUUGUUCCUUCAGGGAGGUUUGCAAUGUCACCGCAGCAAAGAGUUCUUAUUUUUAUCUGCUAUUUUCUGGAAUAUUUUACACAUUUCUGUUAUUAUAAUUUACUAAUUAUUUGAAUAUUUUACUGACACUUUGUUUGGAUAUAAAAUGUGAUAUUUUACUAAUUUGUUUGGAUAGUUUUCUAACUUUUUGGACACUGUACUUAUCUUUUAGAUAUUUUACCAACAUUUUGUUUUAUCACAAAUGGUGAUUCCAAUGCAAACAGUUAACAUUUCCCAAAUAGUGCAGUUCUCACAGCCACUAUAAUCUGAGUAACAAAUGUAUACAGCUACCUUUUUUUUAAUUGGCUUAAGGGAGUCUGGUAUUUGCCAAGGUUGUGCUUUGUCACGCUUCUUUUAUCUUGUUGAGUGGACUGUUUGGUGACCUCAGCUGCUGCAUGUAAAGCCAACUUGAAAUGAGUCAGAACUUCGAGGUCGAGACGGAAAAUGUUUUGGGAGCAAACGCUUGCCCAUAAGAAGCAAGUAAUCUAUCGCCGGGUCUUCAUACUGAAACUGACAGCAUCCACAGUCUGCUACAUGGACAAGUUAUUAGUUUAAGCUAGGAUGCUAACGGGAAAGUGAUUUUAGUACUUUUGAGAGUUUUGAUUAAACCAAAUAUCAAUAUCGGAGAUAUUUUGAAAUAUGGGCUUUUGUGCACUGAUGUACAAACGGUAUUUGAAGUAAAUGUUUUCUGUUCUGA